AAAGUUUGACCUCAAAUCAGGUAGGAUUACCCGCUGAACUUAAGCAUAUCAAUAAGCGGAGGAAAAGAAACCAACAGGGAUUGCCUUAGUAACGGCGAGUGAAGCGGCAAAAGCUCAAAUUUGAAAUCUGGCACUUUCAGUGUCCGAGUUGUAAUUUGAAGAAGGUAACUUUGGAGUUGGCCCUUGUCUAUGUUCCUUGGAACAGGACGUCACAGAGGGUGAGAAUCCCGUGCGAUGAGGUGUCCAAUUCUAUGUAAAGUGCUUUCGAAGAGUCGAGUUGUUUGGGAAUGCAGCUCUAAGUGGGUGGUAAAUUCCAUCUAAAGCUAAAUAUUGGCGAGAGACCGAUAGCGAACAAGUACAGUGAUGGAAAGAUGAAAAGAACUUUGAAAAGAGAGUGAAAAAGUACGUGAAAUUGUUGAAAGGGAAGGGCUUGAGAUCAGACUCGGUAUUUUGCAAGCCUAUCCUUCGUGGAGAGGUUUAUUAGCAGCUUACCGGGCCAGCAUCGGUUUGGAUGGUAGGAUAAUAUUCAUUGGAAUGUGGCUCUUCGGAGUGUUAUAGCCUUUGUUCAUACUGCCUAUCUAGACCGAGGACUGC
Molecule: ribosomal RNA, 594 nt
Rfam family: Eukaryotic large subunit ribosomal RNA